GGAGAGAUGGCCGAGCGGCUGAAGGCGCUCCCCUGCUAAGGGAGUAUAGGGAUCAUAUCCCUAUCGAGGGUUCGAAUCCCUCUCUCUCCGCCA
RNAcentral lists this transfer RNA (93 nucleotides) under Rickettsiales bacterium. RNAcentral describes it as "tRNA-Ser". It matches the Rfam family "tRNA". From Rfam's summary of the family: Transfer RNA (tRNA) molecules are approximately 80 nucleotides in length. Their secondary structure includes four short double-helical elements and three loops (D, anti-codon, and T loops). Further hydrogen bonds mediate the characteristic L-shaped molecular structure. tRNAs have two regions of fundamental functional importance: the anti-codon, which is responsible for specific mRNA codon recognition, and the 3' end, to which the tRNAs corresponding amino acid is attached (by aminoacyl-tRNA synthetases). tRNAs cope with the degeneracy of the genetic code in two manners: having more than one tRNA (with a specific anti-codon) for a particular amino acid; and 'wobble' base-pairing, i.e. permitting non-standard base-pairing at the 3rd anti-codon position. Lineage: Bacteria; Pseudomonadati; Pseudomonadota; Alphaproteobacteria; Rickettsiales. The record is from RNAcentral.